RNAcentral lists this ribosomal RNA (253 nucleotides) under uncultured bacterium. RNAcentral's name for it is "partial 16S ribosomal RNA". It matches the Rfam family "Bacterial small subunit ribosomal RNA", at positions 524 to 776 of the family's 1533-position model. The record is from RNAcentral.
UACGUAGGGAGCAAGCGUUGUCCGGAAUCAUUGGGCGUAAAGCGCGCGUAGGUGGCCACAUAAGUCCGUUGUGAAAGUCAAAGGCUCAACCUUUGAAAGCCGAUGGAUACUGUGUGGCUAGAGUACGGAAGAGGCGAGUGGAAUUCCUGGUGUAGCGGUGGAAUGCGCAGAUAUCAGGAAGAACACCCGUGGCUAAGGCGGUUCUCUAGUACGGUACUGACGCUGAGACGCGAAAGCGUGGGGAGCGAACAGG